RNAcentral lists this transfer RNA (72 nucleotides) under Candidatus Woesearchaeota archaeon CG1_02_57_44. RNAcentral's name for it is "tRNA-Thr". It matches the Rfam family "tRNA". From Rfam's summary of the family: Transfer RNA (tRNA) molecules are approximately 80 nucleotides in length. Their secondary structure includes four short double-helical elements and three loops (D, anti-codon, and T loops). Lineage: Archaea; Nanobdellati; Candidatus Woesearchaeota. The record is from RNAcentral. RNAcentral also lists the same sequence under 1 other name.
GCCUCGGUAGCUCAGGGGUAGAGCGGCUGCCUCGUAAGCAGCAGGCCGGGGGUUCAAUUCCCUCCCGAGGCU